GCUAAUCUGCAGUCACUGCUCUCAAGUGCC
RNAcentral lists this non-coding RNA (30 nucleotides) under Mus musculus (house mouse). The record is from RNAcentral. Lineage: Eukaryota; Metazoa; Chordata; Mammalia; Rodentia; Muridae.